This 460-nucleotide ribosomal RNA is filed under the name uncultured bacterium. RNAcentral's name for it is "partial 16S ribosomal RNA". It matches the Rfam family "Bacterial small subunit ribosomal RNA", at positions 338 to 795 of the family's 1533-position model. The record is from RNAcentral.
CCUACGGGAGGCAGCAGUGAGGAAUAUUGGUCAAUGGACGAGAGUCUGAACCAGCCAAGUAGCGUGAAGGAUGACUGCCCUAUGGGUUGUAAACUUCUUUUAUAAAGGAAUAAAACGAGGCACGUGUGCCUUUUUGCAUGUACUUUAUGAAUAAGGAUCGACUAACUCCGUGCCAGCAGCCGCGGUAAUACGGAGGAUCCGAGCGUUAUCCGGAUUUAUUGGGUUUAAAGGGAGCGUAGAUGGGUUGUUAAGUCAGUUGUGAAAGUUUGCGGCUCAACCGUAAAAUUGCAAUUGAUACUGGCAGUCGUGAGUACAGUUGAGGUAGGCGGAAUUCGUGGUGUAGCGGUGAAAUGCUUAGAUAUCACGAAGAACCCCGAUUGCGAAGGCAGCUUACUAAACUGUGACUGACAUUGAUGCUCGAAAGUGUGGGUAUCAAACAGGAUUAGAUACCCGGGUAGUC